GGCUUCACCCGGGAGGCUGCACCAGAUACUGCGAAGCUCGAGGACGGGAGAGGAGAUUGGAAUUCCCGGUGUAGCGGUGAAAUGCAUUGAUAUCGGGAGGAACACCAGUGGCGAAGGCGGAUCUCUGGCCCGUUGCUGACGCUGAGGUGCGAAAGCUGGGGGAGCGAAAGGGAUUAGAUACCCCUGUAGUCCCAGCCCUAAACGAUGGGCGCUAGGUGUUGGGGGAUUAACCCUCAGCGCCGUAGCUAACGCAUUAAGCGCCCCGCCUGGGGAGUACGGCCGCAAGGUUGAAACUCAAAGGAAUUGACGGGGGCCCGCACAAGCGGUGGAGCAUGUGGAUUAAUUCGAUACAAACCGAAGAACCUUACCUGGGCUUGACAUCCACGAGAAACGCCCUAGAAAUAGGGCGCCUCGGUGGGGAAACUCACCGACCCGUGGACACCGGUUGCAUGGCUGUCGUCAGCUCGUGCCGUGAGGUGUUGGGUUAAGUCCCGCAACGAGCGCAACCCUUGUCCUCUGUUGCCAGCGGGUCAUGCCGGGCACUCUGAGGAGACUGCCGUGGUCAACACGGAGGAAGGUGGGGACGACGUCAAGUCAGCAUGGCGGUUACGUCCAGGGCGUCACACAUGCUACAAUGGGUGGUACAAAGGGCAGCCAACGCGCGAGCGGGAGCGAAUCCCAAAAAACCACCCUCAGUUGGGAUCGCAGUCUGCAACUCGACUGCGUGAACGCGGAAUCGCUAGUAACGGCGGGUCAGCCAUACCGCCGUGAAUACGUUCCCGGGCCUUGUACACACCGCCCGUCAAGUCACCCGAGUCGGCUGCACCCGAAGUCGGUCGCCUAACCCGCAAGGGAGGGAGCCGCCGAAGGUGUGGCUGGUAAGGGGGACUAAGUCGUAACAAGGUAA
This 907-nucleotide ribosomal RNA is filed under the name uncultured bacterium. RNAcentral's name for it is "bacterial SSU rRNA". It matches the Rfam family "Bacterial small subunit ribosomal RNA", at positions 606 to 1499 of the family's 1533-position model. The record is from RNAcentral.